Zalophus californianus (California sea lion) is the source of this 443-nucleotide long non-coding RNA. RefSeq lists it as uncharacterized. The record is from RefSeq and is a predicted model, not a curated record. Lineage: Eukaryota; Metazoa; Chordata; Mammalia; Carnivora; Otariidae. The transcript has 3 exons.
AACACAAAUAUAAAAGGUGUGAAGACUGCAGUAAGUGACUAAUCACCGCCUCUCACCCCACCCCCACCUUGUAUCCAGCACGAGAGAGCCCAGGAAUUGGGACCGAAGAGUGAAGGGAAAAUACAUCUCAUGGCAACUAUUGGAUGGAUUUUGCUUGGGCAGAUCUUACUGUCCCUCUGUGAGAUAUUAGCAUAGUAUGAAUUGUGUGGUACGGGAAAAUCAAGCGCUAUUCAUACCUGGCUGGAGUUAAAUGAAAAUAUCAAAGGUUCGAUGGGAAGGAAAAAGAAAGGAGGUGCUAGGUGUGUUAUCCCACUUCAUUUUCAUCACACUAAGAUCUUUCUGUAAUGUUUGAAGGCAAAACAGAUAAUCAGAAAACCAGCCUCCCAAGUACAAAGAUCUGAGCUGGACUCCCAGGACUACAGACUGCUUCAGUUCUAUUUCUA